Long non-coding RNA from Ostrea edulis (European flat oyster), 1535 nucleotides. RefSeq lists it as uncharacterized. The record is from RefSeq and is a predicted model, not a curated record. The transcript has 2 exons. NCBI's taxonomy places the organism in Eukaryota, Metazoa, Mollusca, Bivalvia, Ostreida, Ostreidae.
CAUAUGUCGUGAAAAGAUUAUCAAAAAGAAAUAAAAUAUAAUAAUGAUUUAGAGUUCUGAGAACAAUGCGUCAUAUGCAUUGGAUAAAUCAGUAGAACCAUAAGGUAAAGAGCCCCUAAACGAUGACAGGUAUGAUUUUAAAACCACCCAGUUUGUAUUUUACAUGCUGAAGAAAUUGUUACAAGUGAAGUCAAAAUUGAAAGGAUGAAAUCAUGAGUGCAUUCAAAACAGACUGAUCGAAUGAAAAGCGUUCAAUAAGGAAAUAUUAACCUCAUGAAAAGAAACCAUUUGAUGAAUCAUUGAGUUUCCUUUCACAGCAUUCAAGUUACAGAAAAAUGACGUUUUAUAUAAUAACCGGUGUUGCCUUGAAAGAUUUCGCUUUGUUACUUGAUGAACAAAAAGACCAGAGACGGCAUGUUCUCACUUGUAAUGAUAUUUACAUUUUGUGUAAAGGCGGUGUUUAUUUUCUUAUAUAAUUUGAUACGUUUUUCAUUUCAGUGACACUUUCUCACGUUCAUGAAAAUGUAAAAAUUUCAAAAUGUGCAAUCUGAAAGUGAGCAGCUACUAUCCUGCACAACCGUUCCCCGAAAGAUCAACUGAAACAUGAGACUUUAUUACAAAGGUAACAAGGCUAUAAAAUUAAUAUCAUAUAUGUUAUUAUCAAAUAUAUUUUGAUUACUGUUCCAAAUAUUCAAAUGUGUUCAAUAUUAAGAUAUGACAUAAAUAUCUGUGUCCUGUGAUUUUUUAAUUGUGUGUUAAGGAUCUUGAAGAAUUAAAAAAUCAGUUCUAUUACCACACGCCACACUAUCUAGAAUUCGCUAUCUUUAAAACACAUUGUGAAAUAUCUCAACUCCAUCGAUGAGCACAGAACAAAGAUUAUCGCUUUCGGAUCUUGUUUUUAUGGACUGGACAAUAAGUUGUGUUUUAUGCCCGGUGAAUACUGUUUCGCUUUCUUCGCCUGAGCCUGUCAACAACUCUAGUGCAGUAGACAGUCUGCCUCUAGUACACCACAAUGGAAGACCUAACCGACCGUCUUAUUAACGCGUUUUGAUUUGAAAAUCGGGUAAGAGGCAAUAGAGAGAGAAUAUUUUCUUUUUCAAAGCCAAUGUCACGCGCCAGAGUCAAAAUCGAAGCAUCUGCAGAUUGUGAAGUUCAUAUGUUUUAAUUGCCGUUCAGGUCAUUUUUUUCUUUUGUGAAGAGGGAUUUUGCUUUCAACGCGAAUGACCAUAAAUUGACCCUUCUUUCAAAAUGCAGCGCAUUUAUUUGAAAAAAAAUAUCUGUUUAAAAAACUGGCACCUGACGCAACGUGUGUUGAAAUUUUAACGUUUUAGAAAUCGCUGUUGUUGCGUUUUUCUGAUUUGUUCUGCAAUAAGCAUAUAUGUUUCAGAAUAAUUUUUUUUUUUGUUAUAUGUCCAUAUUCUUUAUACAUACGACACAGUUUACUAUAUUGCAUGUAGUUAUUGUUUGUUUUGUUAUUGUUUGUUUGUUUUAUUUGGAGUUUUUUACACCAAUAUACUCUGUCAGAAAUAAACGUU